UGGGAUCUUCCGGGACCAGGGCUUGAAUCUGUGUCCCCUGCAUUGGCAGGCGGAUUGUCAACCACUGCGCCACCAGGGAAGUCCCUAUAUUAAUUCUUUUGUUUGCUUUACUAAUUAAAUAACUUAAGGCCAAAGCCUCAUCUCUCAUAGAUAUGCUCCAUUGUUUUAUAGGGUAGUGCUAAGAAUGCUAGCUUUAUUUUCAGAUUCUAGCCCCAUUUAAUUAAUAAUAUGACUUUGUGUAAGUUUCUUGAUUCCUAGGUGAUUUUAUUCACUUGUAAAAUUAUCAUAAUGGUUCUUAUAUGUAAAUAAUACAUGGAAGAGUGGUUAGAAUAGGGCGUGGCACAUAUUGAACACAUAUAUUUGUUGAAUGAAUAAUGUAAUCUUUUAUGGUAAUGUGUGCUGAUUAAACAGAUAAAAAUAUACAGAUGGUGACUAGCAUAUGUGCCAUAAAGUUAGAGAUUGAACAUGUUAAUAAUGUUUUAUUUAAUGAAUUUCAAUAAGCUGAUAGGAAAUUGAAAAUCCUUAGAACAUUUUUUGUUUCCUGUUGAUUAUUUUGUUUGUAUUUCAAGGCUCUUCAUCGGUUACCUGCUCUCUUAAAAAAAAUCAGUUUGGAAAAAAAAAUCAGUUUGGUAUAUAAAGAAUAAACUAUAUAAUGAGGAAGAAGAGCAGCUUAUUUUGUCUAUAAAACAAAUCACUUAUGAAUGAAUUUAAGAUAAAAGUAUUCGUUUGUUGAAUGCCACACACGGACUCUUACCACUGAAGAGAGCUAGUGGCAUCUGACAAAGAACCAUGAUACCUGGCUGAAACUCCAGGAUGGAAGUAAUGCACAAGUCACUUUAUAAAAGCCAACACUGUAAAUCGUACGUAAUGGCUAUAUGCAAACUAGUGAUCAAAGUUAAUAAUUUUAGAAGGGAAAAGUUUACAGUUAGCUUAUAAGUGGCUGUGUAAACCGAUGCAGUAGCUGUUAAGCAGCUUUCCAAAUCCUUGGAAGGCCAGUGUGCCAAUAAGAGAGUCCUCAUGAGCAUUCCCACAUCUGGCUCAAGUGACUUAGGGGGGAUGAGAGCUAGAAUCACAUUCCUCUCCUCUCCCCAAGUCCUCAUUCUAGUCAGUCAGACUUUUCUCAGCCCCUGCUACCACAUUUCUGCCACAUUUAAUCAUAAAGUACUAGGUCUUAAAUGUUCCAAGUAGCUUUUUUUUUUUUAAUUGUAAAUACUGUCUUUACCAGAGCUGGUGCUGGCACUGUUUUGGAGAUCCUCUAUGGGAUCUCAUAUUAACUGCCUGACUUACUUGCGAGUAAAAGAAAAGUGAGAGGCUCUUCAUUUUACAUUGUAGUUCGUUAGUUUGGAUUUAAGCCAGGGGUGUUGGUUCCCGCAGUAUAAUACUGUGUUUGCAUUAUUUGAUACUGCUUCUCAGAAUCGACUCUUGUUUAAAUUUUUUUUUUU
Molecule: non-coding RNA, 1442 nt
Organism: Delphinapterus leucas (beluga whale)
Lineage: Eukaryota; Metazoa; Chordata; Mammalia; Artiodactyla; Monodontidae
Source: RefSeq, a predicted model, not a curated record